CAGUAGCCGCGGUAAUACGAAGGGUGCAAGCGUUAAUCGGAAUUACUGGGCGUAAAGCGUGCGUAGGCGGUGAGUUAAGUCCGCUGUGAAAUCCCCGGGCUCAACCUGGGAAUGGCAGUGGAUACUGGCUCGCUAGAGUGUGUCAGAGGAUGGUGGAAUUCCCGGCGUAGCGGUGAAAUGCGUAGAGAUCGGGAGGAACAUCAGUGGCGAAGGCGGCCAUCUGGGACAACACUGACGCUGAGGCACGAAGGCGUGGGGAGCAAACAGGAUUAGAUACCCCCGUAGUCCCUGUCUCUUAUAC
This 301-nucleotide ribosomal RNA is filed under the name uncultured bacterium. Its description in RNAcentral is "partial 16S ribosomal RNA". It matches the Rfam family "Bacterial small subunit ribosomal RNA", at positions 509 to 807 of the family's 1533-position model. The record is from RNAcentral.